GACGAACGCUGGCGGCGUGCCUAAUACAUGCAAGUCGAACGCAAAACUUUCACCGAAUGCUUGCAUUCACGAAAGUUUUGAGUGGCGAACGGGUGAGUAACACGUGGGUAACCUGCCCAGAAGAGGGGGAUAACACUUGGAAACAGGUGCUAAUUCCGCAUAAUAACAAAAACCGCAUGGUUUGUGCUUGUAAGAUGGGUUUGUUAUCACUUCUGGAUGGACCCACGGCGUAUUAGCUAGUUGGUAAGGUAAAGGCUUACCAAGGCAAUGAUACGUAGCAGAACUGAGAGGUUGAUCGGCCACAUUGGGACUGAGACACGGCCCAAACUCCUACGGGAGGCAGCAGUAGGGAAUCUUCCACAAUGGACGAAAGUCUGAUGGAGCAACGCCGCGUGAGUGAAGAAGGUUUUCGGAUCGUAAAACUCUGUUGUUAGAGAAGAACGUGUGUGAGAGUAACUGCUCAUGCAGUGACGGUAUCUAACCAGAAAGCCACGGCUAACUACGUGCCAGCCGCCGCCGUAA
This 522-nucleotide ribosomal RNA is filed under the name uncultured bacterium. RNAcentral describes it as "partial 16S ribosomal RNA". It matches the Rfam family "Bacterial small subunit ribosomal RNA", at positions 28 to 523 of the family's 1533-position model. The record is from RNAcentral.